Molecule: ribosomal RNA, 1489 nt
Filed under: human gut metagenome
Description: bacterial SSU rRNA
Rfam family: Bacterial small subunit ribosomal RNA
Source: RNAcentral
GACGAACGCUGGCGGCGUGCCUAAUACAUGCAAGUCGAGCGAGCAGAGCCAGCAGAUUUACUUCGGUAAUGACGCUGGGGACGCGAGCGGCGGAUGGGUGAGUAACACGUGGGGAACCUGCCCCAUAGUCUGGGAUACCACUUGGAAACAGGUGCUAAUACCGGAUAAGAAAGCAGAUCGCAUGAUCAGCUUAUAAAAGGCGGCGUAAGCUGUCGCUAUGGGAUGGCCCCGCGGUGCAUUAGCUAGUUGGUAAGGUAACGGCUUACCAAGGCAAUGAUGCAUAGCCGAGUUGAGAGACUGAUCGGCCACAUUGGGACUGAGACACGGCCCAAACUCCUACGGGAGGCAGCAGUAGGGAAUCUUCCACAAUGGACGCAAGUCUGAUGGAGCAACGCCGCGUGAGUGAAGAAGGCUUUCGGGUCGUAAAACUCUGUUGUUGGAGAAGAAUGGUCGGCAGAGUAACUGUUGUCGGCGUGACGGUAUCCAACCAGAAAGCCACGGCUAACUACGUGCCAGCAGCCGCGGUAAUACGUAGGGUGCAAGCGUUAUCCGGAAUUAUUGGGCGUAAAGAGGGAGCAGGCGGCAGCAAGGGUCUGUGGUGAAAGACUGAAGCUUAACUGCAGUAACGCUUUGGAAACUGUUUAACUUGAGUGCAAGAGGGGAAAGUGGAAUUCCUAGUGUAGCGGUGAAAUGCGUAGAGAUUAGGAAGAACACCAGUGGCGAAGGCGACUUUCUGGACUGUAACUGACGCUGAGGCUCGAAAGCGUGGGGAGCAAACAGGAUUAGAUACCCUGGUAGUCCACGCCGUAAACGAUGAGUGCUAAGUGUUGGAGGGUUUCCGCCCUUCAGUGCCGCAGCUAACGCGUUAAGCAUCCCGCCUGGGGAGUACGGCCGCAAGGCUAAAACUCAAAGAAAUUGACGGGGGCCCGCACAAGCGGCGGAGCAUGUGGUUUAAUUCGAUGCAACGCGAAGAACCUUACCAGGUCUUGACAUCCCGAUGCCAUUUCUAGAGAUAGGAAGUUACUUCGGUACAUCGGUGACAGGUGGUGCAUGGUUGUCGUCAGCUCGUGCCGUGAGAUGUUGGGUUAAGUCCCGCAACGAGCGCAACCCCUAUUGUUAGUUGCCAUCAUUAAGUUGGGCACUCUAACGAGACUGCCGGUGAUAAACCGGAGGAAGGUGGGGAUGACGUCAAAUCAUCAUGCCCCUUAUGACCUGGGCUACACACGUGCUACAAUGGAUGGUACAACGAGUCGCGAGACAGUGAUGUUUAGCUAAUCUCUUAAAACCAUUCUCAGUUCGGAUUGUAGGCUGCAACUCGCCUACAUGAAGUCGGAAUCGCUAGUAAUCGCGGAUCAGCACGCCGCGGUGAAUACGUUCCCGGGCCUUGUACACACCGCCCGUCACACCACGGGAGUUGGGAGUACCCGAAGUAGGUUGCCUAACCGCAAGGAGGGCGCUUCCUAAGGUAAGACCGAUGACUGGGGUGAAG